GUAGGUUGGUAUGAGAGGGGUCUGCGUCCUAUCAGCUUGUUGGUGAGGUAAUGGCUUACCAAGGCAAAGACGGGUAGGGGGCGUGAGAGCGCGGUCCCCCACAGUGGCACUGAAACACGGGCCACACUCCUACGGGAGGCAGCAAUUAGGAAUCUUUCGCAAUGGGGGAAACCCUGACGAAGCGACGCCGCGUGAAGGAAGACGGCCUACGGGUUGUAAACUUCUUUUAUUAGGGAGCAGGAAGGAUAGUACCUAAUGAAUAAGCACCUGCUAACUGCGUGCCAGAAGCCUCGGUGAUGCGUAGGGUGCAAGCGUUGUCCGGAUUUAUUGGGCGUAAAGUGACUGUAGGCGGUCAAGGAAGUUUUGUUUCAAAGACUCAGGCUUAACUUGAGGAAGGGACAAAAAACCACUUGACUUGAGGAAGGUAGAGGAAUACGGAAUGUGUGGUGGAGCGGUUAAAUGCGUUGAUAUCACACAGAACGCCAAAAGCGAAGGCAGUAUUCUGGACCUUUCCUGACGCUCAGAGUCGAAAGCCAGGGUAGCGAAACGGAUUAGAUACCCGUGUAGUCCUGGCCGUAAAUGUUGCUAGUUAAGUGUUGGUUUCGUCAAUUCGGAAUCAGUGCUGAAGUUAACGCGUUAAACUAGCCGCCUGAGUAGUACGACCGCAAGGUUAAAACUCAAAGGAAUUGGCGGGGACCCGCACAAGCAGUGGAGCACGUGGUUUAAUCCGACGGUAAUCGUAGAACCUUACCAGGGUUUGAAUGUAGCUGUGAUUCUUAAGAAACUAGGAAUGUCUUCGAGAUCGCUACACAGGUGCUGCAUGGCCGUUGUCAGCUCGUGCUGUGAAGUGUACCGUUAAGUCGGGUAACGAGCGUAACCCUUGUCCUAUGUUACAAGUGUCUUAGGAGACCGCUGCGGUAAAACGCGGAGGAAGGAGGGGAUGACUUCUGGUCAUCAUGGUCCUUAUGCCCUGGGCCACACACGCGCUACAAUGGCUGGUACAAUGGGUUGCCAAACCGCGAGGUGGAGCUAAUCUCAUAAAGCCAGUCUCAGUCCGGAUUGCAGGCUGAAAUUCGCCUGCAUGAAUGUUGGAAUUGCUAGUAAUCGUGGAUCAGCCAUGCCACGGUGAUACGUUCUCGGGUCUUGCACA
Molecule: ribosomal RNA, 1150 nt
Filed under: uncultured organism
Description: bacterial SSU rRNA
Rfam family: Bacterial small subunit ribosomal RNA
Source: RNAcentral